GGAGAGGUGGCAGAGUGGUCGAAUGUACCUGACUCGAAAUCAGGCGUGCCGAAAGGUACCGUGGGUUCGAAUCCCACCCUCUCCGCCA
RNAcentral lists this transfer RNA (88 nucleotides) under Candidatus Dechloromonas phosphorivorans. Its description in RNAcentral is "tRNA-Ser". It matches the Rfam family "tRNA". Rfam says of the family: Transfer RNA (tRNA) molecules are approximately 80 nucleotides in length. Lineage: Bacteria; Pseudomonadati; Pseudomonadota; Betaproteobacteria; Rhodocyclales; Azonexaceae. The record is from RNAcentral.